CCUACGGGAGACAGUAGUGAGGAAUAUUGGUCAAUGGACGAGAGUCUGAACCAGCCAAGUAGCGUGAAGGAUGACUGCCCUAUGGGUUGUAAACUUCUUUUAUAUGGGAAUAAAAUGUUCCACGUGUGGGAUUUUGUAUGUACCAUAUGAAUAAGGAUCGGCUAACUCCGUGCCAGCAGCCGCGGUAAUACGGAGGAUCCGAGCGUUAUCCGGAUUUAUUGGGUUUAAAGGGAGCGUAGGUGGAUUGUUAAGUCAGUUGUGAAAGUUUGCGGCUCAACCGUAAAAUUGCAGUUGAAACUGGCAGUCUUGAGUACAGUAGAGGUGGGCGGAAUUCGUGGUGUAGCGGUGAAAUGCUUAGAUAUCACGAAGAACUCCGAUUGCGAAGGCAGUUCACUGGACUGCAACUGACACUGAGGCUCGAAAGUGUGGGUAUCAAACAGGAUUAGAUACCCGUGUAGUC
This 460-nucleotide ribosomal RNA is filed under the name uncultured bacterium. Its description in RNAcentral is "partial 16S ribosomal RNA". It matches the Rfam family "Bacterial small subunit ribosomal RNA", at positions 338 to 795 of the family's 1533-position model. The record is from RNAcentral.